This is a long non-coding RNA of Leguminivora glycinivorella, 705 nucleotides long. RefSeq lists it as uncharacterized. The record is from RefSeq and is a predicted model, not a curated record. The transcript has 2 exons. Lineage: Eukaryota; Metazoa; Arthropoda; Insecta; Lepidoptera; Tortricidae.
GUGAAGUGUUUUUUGGAUAUCGCGUAAGAACAGCUAACGAUAAUCUAUUAACAUCUGAGCUUGAUAACGGGGUAUUAACUGACGUGUCUGACUUGCGUAAAAGGGUCGAUGAAAAUAUUAAAGCCGAUGCAAUAUAUCAGAAAAAGCGGUUUGAUGAAUCACGAAAACAAGCGUGUAAAUAUUCGGUGGGUGACCUUGUUUUGCUGAAAAAUCUAUGCAAAAAUAACGACGGCCAAAGUAGGAAGCUAAUGCCAUCUUAUAAGGGCCCAUUUCAAGUCAAGAGCGUCCUAGGGAAUGACAGAUAUGAGGUGACGGAUGUGCGAGGCUCGGAACGAAGUACUAAGCACUAUUCGGGCACGGCCGCGGCGGAAAACAUGAAGCCGUGGAUCCGAAUAGGAGACUGGCCUUCAGAUUAAAUUACCCUGGAUGAAACGUGGUGGUGUCAGGGGCUGACACGUUGCAGAACGGCCGUGUUGGCAACCUUGAACGCGCGGCAAGAUUCUACCUGCUGCGCGACCGGCCAGGUGGUGGCGGCGCCCCUCCACUUCUAUAAAUACCGUUGCGGCACCGGCGGCCACCUCUUUAUUCAUUGAGACUUCGACUGGGGCACUAGAUAUUCAUUUAAUUAAUGUGAUUUUAGAUAUUCAAAUAAUUGAUGUGAUUUAUGUACACUUAUUAAACAAUAAAAGUAUUUCGUAUAUUUAA